This 253-nucleotide ribosomal RNA is filed under the name uncultured bacterium. RNAcentral's name for it is "partial 16S ribosomal RNA". It matches the Rfam family "Bacterial small subunit ribosomal RNA", at positions 524 to 776 of the family's 1533-position model. The record is from RNAcentral.
UACAGAGGUGGCAAGCGUUGUUCGGAAUUACUGGGCGUAAAGGGCGCGUAGGCGGCCUUCUAGGUCAGACGUGAAAUCCCCAGGCUUAACUUGGGAACUGCGUCUGAUACUGGGAGGCUUGAGUGCGGGAGAGGGAUGUGGAAUUCCAGGUGUAGCGGUGAAAUGCGUAGAUAUCUGGAGGAACACCGGUGGCGAAGGCGGCAUCCUGGACCGACACUGACGCUGAGGCGCGAAAGCGUGGGGAGCAAACAGG